CGAAAGCCUGACGGAGCAACGCCGCGUGAGGGAUGAAGGCCUCUGGGCUGUAAACCUCUUUUAUCAAGGAAGAAGAUCUGACGGUACUUGAGGAAUAAGCCACGGCUAAUUCCGUGCCAGCAGCCGCGGUAAUACGGGAGUGGCAAGCGUUAUCCGGAAUUAUUGGGCGUAAAGCGUCCGCAGGCGGCCUUGUAAGUCUGUUGUCAAAGCGUGGAGCUCAACUCCAUUUCGGCAAUGGAAACUGCAAGGCUAGAGUGUGGUAGGGGCAGAGGGAAUUCCCGGUGUAGCGGUGAAAUGCGUAGAUAUCGGGAAGAACACCAGUGGCGAAGGCGCUCUGCUGGGCCAUAACUG
This 351-nucleotide ribosomal RNA is filed under the name uncultured bacterium. RNAcentral describes it as "bacterial SSU rRNA". It matches the Rfam family "Bacterial small subunit ribosomal RNA", at positions 376 to 742 of the family's 1533-position model. The record is from RNAcentral.